This 2386-nucleotide small RNA is filed under the name Pan troglodytes (chimpanzee). RNAcentral's name for it is "processed transcript". The record is from RNAcentral. Lineage: Eukaryota; Metazoa; Chordata; Mammalia; Primates; Hominidae.
AGAUCACAGCACAGUGCUGAGAAAGUCUUGGCUAGGCCAAUGGGGAGUCCCCAAGGAAAGAUGCCCAAGACUGGAAUCCUGCACUGGGCAGAAUCCUGCACCAGCACCAGCACCAUUACCCCUGACAUGCUGAGUCACUGGCUAGGAACAGCCUGGAGGAAGCAUUGUCUCACUGUGAAUGCAAUGGCAGCUCCAAAGAGGCAGAGGCAUGUCCUUAUCACAGGCAAGGCAGUGAAUCCAAGGCGGCAGGAGACCUGGGGCUGUCCAUCAACUCUGCUUUCUUCUGGUCCUCCUGAAGGCGAUCUGGGAAGGGCAGUUUGAAUGGACUGACGGCUCAUCCUAUGACUACAGCUACUGGGAUGGCAGCCAGCCAGAUGAUGGCGUCCACGCGGACCCAGAAGAAGAGGACUGCGUGCAGAUAUGGUACAGGCCUACCAGUGCUCUGAGGUCAUGGAAUGAUAACACCUGCAGCCGGAAGUUCCCCUUUGUCUGCAAAAUCCCAUCUCUGACCAUUCAUUGAUCCUGUCUUGUCCUACUGGUGUGAGCUCAACUCUAGUAUCAUCUUGUAGCUGUACCCAGUGUAGAAUUGACAUUGAAUACAUGUAAAACAUACAUAGGAAGUAAAUCUCUUGGACAGAGAUUUUAAACAAGCAGAUCUUAAUUAUACAGGGUGGUCACUUGGCCAAGUGUCAGGAAAGCCAGCUCAAAUUGGCUUAAUUUUUUAAAGUGUUUUUUUUUUUAAUUGACCCAAAUAACAAAAAUCCAGGGGUUGUUCUGAUUCAGAGUUGAAUCUCACUGGCCUGGCUUGGGUCACAUGCCCAUCCCUGAAGCAAUCACUUUGGCAUAUGCUAAGUGGCUAGCUCCUGCUUAGCUGUACAUCUUUGGACAAAAUGGGAUGGAAGUCACAUUAUCAGAGGGGCUGGGAGUGGGGGAAAAUGGGGGGGGGGUGUUGGUCAAAGGAUACAAACUUUUGGAAUUAAGAUUAAUAAGUUUGGGAGGCUUAAUGUACAGCAUGGUGACUAUAGUUAAUAAUAAUGUAUUGUAUUCCUGAAAUUUGCUACGAGAGUAAUUUUUUUUUUUGAGACAGAGUCUCACUCUGUUGCCCAGGCUGAAGUGCAGUGAUGCAAUCACAGCUCACUGCAGCCUCAACCUCCUGGGCUCAGGUGAUCCUCCCAUCUCCAGUCCCCAGAGUAGGUGGGACUACAGGACGCUACAGGCGCAUGCCACCACAUCUGGCUAACUUUUGUAUUUUUUUUUUUUAAAUAGAGAUGAGGUUUCAUCAUGUCAUCCAAGCUGGUUUCGAACUCCUGGGCUCAAGGGAUCCACCCACCUCAGCCUCCCAAAGUACUGGGAUUACAGGCAUGAGCCACUGCGCCUAGCCAAGAAUACAUCUUAAAUAUUCCCGUCAACACAUGGGCUCAAAGAUGAGGCUGGUUCUUCAAAGGAAAACAAAAAGAUUACCAAACUCAUAAAUUGCUGGUGGGAAUGUAAAAUAGUGAAGCCACUGUGGAAAAGUUUGGCAGUUCCUCAAAAAGUUAAACAUAGAAUUACAUCUAAGCCAGCAAUUCCACUCCUAGAUCUUGACCUAAGAGAAUCGGAAACAGGUAUUUAAAUAUAAGUGGUCGGCCAGGUGUAGUGGCUCAUGCCUGUAAUCCCAGCACUUUGGGAAGCUGAGGAGAGAGGAUCACUUGAGCCCAGGAGUUGAAGAUCAGCCUGGGCAACAUAGUAAGACCCCAUCUCCAUAAGAAAAUUUUUUUAAUUAGCCAAGCAUGGUGAUGCACAUCUGUAGUCCCAGCUGUUUGGGAGGCUGAGAUGGGAAGAUCACUUGAGCCCAGGAUAUCAAGGCUGCAAUGGACCAUGAUUGUGCUUCUGCACUCCAGCCUGGGUGACAGAGGAAGACCCUGUCUCAAAAAACAAAAACAAAAAAAUAUGAUCACAGCAGCAUUAUUGAUAAAAACCACACAAAAAAAUGAAGACAACCCAAGUGUUCACCAACAGAUGAAUGACUAAACAAAUGUGGUCUAUUCAUAGGGUGGAAUAUUAUUCAAGCAUAAAAAGAAAUGAAGUAACGAUAGAUACUACAACCUGAAUGAACCUGAAAAACAUUAUGCUGCCAGUCACAAAAGGCCACAUGUUGUAUGAUUCCAUAUAUAUGAAAUAUCCAGAAUAGGCAAGUCUAUAGAGAUGGAAAGUGGAUUAGUGGUUGCCAGGGGAUGUGUGGAGGGGGAAUAGAAAGUGAGUGCUAAUAGGUAUGGGAUUACUUUGUCAGGUGACAAAAAUUAUCUGCAAUUAGAUAGUGGUAAUGGCUGCACAAUAUUGUAAAUGUACAAGAAGCCACUGAACUGUACAUUUUAAAAUAAUAGUUAAAAUGAUAAAUUUUACAUUA